CCUACGUGAGGCAGCAGUGGGGAAUAUUGGGCAAUGGACGAAACUCUGACCCAGCAAUGCCGCGUGAAUGAAGAAGGUCUUCGGAUUGUAAAGCUCUUUUGUCAGGGAAGAAUAAAAUGACGAUUCCUGAAGAAUAAGCUCCGGCUAACUACGUGCCAGCAGCCGCCGUAAUACCUAGGGAGCAAGCGUUGUUCGGAAUGACUGGGCGGAAAGGGUGCGUAGGGGGGUAUGCAAGUUAGCAGGGGAAUACCCUGGGCUUAACUCGGGAGCUGCUUCUGAAACUGUAAGACUUGAGUGCAGUAGAGGUGAGUGGAAUGCCUGGUGUAGCGGUGGAAUGCGUAGAUAUUAGGAGGAACACCAGAGGCGAAGGCGGCUAACUGGACUGCAACUGACGCUGAGGCACGAAAGUGUGGGGAGCAAACAGGAUUAGAUACCCGAGUAGUC
This 444-nucleotide ribosomal RNA is filed under the name uncultured bacterium. Its description in RNAcentral is "partial 16S ribosomal RNA". It matches the Rfam family "Bacterial small subunit ribosomal RNA", at positions 338 to 795 of the family's 1533-position model. The record is from RNAcentral.